GGGAUGCGUCAAUAAAACAACAACAAUAAACAGAGCAGCCACACUCUCUACACCUUGGAGCAAAGAAUAUGUCACACAAAUAAGAACAAACUCGAUCGAAGCCGUUGACGAAUAUGAAAUGCCAAAUCCUACUCCGACGACUAACAUCACUAUUGGGUUUUUAGACAGGGAAAUUGUUAUAUAUUCAGUAGUUGUUACAUGUAUCUUAGUCAUAAUAGGAC
Mytilus trossulus (common blue mussel) is the source of this 221-nucleotide long non-coding RNA. RefSeq lists it as uncharacterized. The transcript is spliced from 3 exons. Lineage: Eukaryota; Metazoa; Mollusca; Bivalvia; Mytilida; Mytilidae. The record is from RefSeq and is a predicted model, not a curated record.